RNAcentral lists this ribosomal RNA (492 nucleotides) under uncultured bacterium. Its description in RNAcentral is "partial 16S ribosomal RNA". It matches the Rfam family "Bacterial small subunit ribosomal RNA", at positions 29 to 507 of the family's 1533-position model. The record is from RNAcentral.
AGUGAACGCUGGCGGUAGGCCUAACACAUGCAAGUCGAACGGCAGCACAGUAAGAGCUUGCUCUUACGGGUGGCGAGUGGCGGACGGGUGAGGAAUACAUCGGAAUCUACUUUUUCGUGGGGGAUAACGUAGGGAAACUUACGCUAAUACCGCAUACGACCUACGGGUGAAAGCAGGGGAUCUUCGGACCUUGCGCGAUUGAAUGAUCCGAUGUCGGAUUAGCUAGUUGGCGGGGUAAAGGCCCACCAAGGCGACGAUCCGUAGCUGGUCUGAGAGGAUGAUCAGCCACACUGGAACUGAGACACGGUCCAGACUACUACGGGAGGCAGCAGUGGGGAAUAUUGGACAAUGGGCGCAAGCCUGAUCCAGCCAUACCGCGUGGGUGAAGAAGGCCUUCGGGUUGUAAAGCCCUUUUGUUGGGAAAGAAAAGCAGCAGGUUAAUACCCCGCUGUUCUGACGGUACCCAAAGAAUAAGCACCGGCUAACUUCGUG